GUUUACACAAGUUGAACCUGUGGUUUAUUUUUCAGCAAUGUCCACGAGGCGGCGCUUGGCGGACAGGGAGCAGAGGCGCGUCACUGAAGCGUACGAGUCAAACUCAUGAGUCAUGGCCGAAAGUGCGCGAGUUAAGCUUAGUGACGAUGUCUGCUUUGCUGGCUGAAGAUGUCUGCUCCCGGCUUAGGGAAGCCACACAGGUACAUAAUGAAGCAGUUAAAUCAAUGGCGAUUGUUCGAUGGCGUUAGUGUGGCCAGAAGCGAAUACAUAUUUUUAAACGAGACGAGGCACAAUCUCUAAACCAAAGAGAUUCGCUGCUGAAGUGUCCAACUGAUGUGGAGAACAAGCCUCCAAGGACGUUCAUUCGCAGAGACGGACGAACCCCCGCUCGCUGGUUCUAGCAGUGAAGAGGGCGAACCGGAUGAGUCCGAGCCGUGCACUUCCACCGAUGAUGACAGCUCCCUGGGUGGACAAGAGCAGGUGGUCGCACCAGGCUUAGCCACACCUCCAAACAAUGCUGGCAGAGACCCUACUAUCUGAGACCCGGACUCAGAUUCGUCGCGAUAUGAAUGGAUCUUUACGGGAUAUGUUAGUGCAGGCUGGGCCAUAUCAGGAUAAGGUAGGGGAGUUGAGGGCCAACGAAAAUGUUCGGUGGCCAACUACAAUAUGAGGAUGGCGAACGGAGAGAGAGUGGAGAUACCAUGGCUCGUUAAUUCCAAGCAAAAUGAUGCGGCCUUCUAUUUUUGCUGUUUUUCACGAGGGCAAAUCUGCGCUGGUCUUGGAUGGAACCAGGGACUGGGAAUAAUCUGUGCCACCUCCUCAGCUCGCAUGAGAAGUCGCAUGACCGCCUAGAUAGUAUCCAGAGGUGGAAGGAGCUGGAGAUCAGGCUGGUGUCCAAGGAAGCUAUCGAUGCCCAAGCCCAACGGGCUAUUGACAGAGAGACUCUCCAUUGGCAGACCAUGGACAGCUACCGAGAGAAAACAUCGCUGACUGCAAUGCAGCAUCACAGCAAAGGGAAGAGACCACUCUAGGCGGGCCACGAAUUGAAGAAAUGCUGAAAUGUAUGUUGGACAAUCAAAUUCGGUGAAGUCUGAGCCAUGAACUAGAACAGCUUAACUGCGUAUAUGGUGAAGAGCCUGCAGACUCCAUAUGGUGAAGAGACUCCAUAUGGUGAAGAGCCUGGUUCAGAACCCUGUACCUCGGCUCGUAAGUACGCAUCCUGGUGUCCAGCGUCGUGUACUGCAUCCUGGAGCCGCUGGUCGCCUCCAACUCCCUCAACGACCACUGGACCCUUAUGGAGUACGCAGCUCUGUGGGUCACCCACAUGUUCUGGACCCAUGGAGACCUGGUCAGUGGUCUGUUGUCUCUGCAGAAGGUUCUGUCAGACCCGGUCCGCCCGCUGUGUUCUCACUAUGGAGUUGUAGGGGGCUACAUGCACUUAGAGGAAAUGCUAUUGAGUGAGUCAUAUACCCUUACCUGCAAGCUGUCCUGGAUGACUACUCUGUCUCCAAUGCCCAGGUGAAAGCAGACAGACACAAGUCUAUGGAGCAAUCCUGUGGAGCACCUGCUAAAGAUUAGAGCCCUGUCUCUGUCCCUGCCAGCAGAGGGGUCGACAGCACCCAGCCACGCUUCGGGAGUGUGAUUUCCGCCGGGCUCAGCCUCUCUCCGAGGCCACGCUGGGCAUCGUCAGUCCCCUGCAGGGACCUGGGGGAGCUGGAACCCCCUGGAAUGACUGGACCACAUCCCCCUGCCCGCCAUGUACUGUGAGCAGGUGGUUAAGAGUGUUGGGCUAGUAACCAAAAGGUUGUUGGUUCGAAUCACCGAGCCGACGAGGUGAAAUUUUCUGUCUGUGCCUUUGAGCAAGACACUCAAGUCUAAUUCCACCUGUAAAGCACAGCUGUCGCUAUUUGAUAUUUGAUAUUAUUUAUAAAUAUUGGAUUUAGUUGCAUAUAUUAUUAAGUUGCAUACAAUAACUGUACCAUUUACAAUGCACUUCUCUGUGCAAACAGGUAAUAACUUUCUAUCAUCUUACACAUUGUCCUUGGGAUUGGUGGACAGUCAAACUGAAAGGAAGCAACUUCUAUUGCUUAGGGAUGGAUCGACAUUUACAUAAUGGGUACCUGAUGGAAAAUGUGGGAGGUUCAUGCUUUUAAUAUUUCAGCCAAGGGGUUUCAAUUUUUUUUUAAAUCUAGUCCAGGGGAGGGUCAUGUCAUUUAUGAAAUGUCAAUAUUUUUCAGUUGCUUAUUAGGCUAUAUAUACACAUCUGCAUUGUUUGCUGUUUGGGGUUUUGGUCUGGGUUUCUGAACAGCACUUUGUGACAUCUGCUGAUGUAAAAAAGGCUUUAUAAAUACAUUUGAUUGUGUUGGAGUUUAUUUCGUCCUAUUUAAGAAAUAACAGGUAGCCUGCUAU
Long non-coding RNA from Oncorhynchus tshawytscha (Chinook salmon), 2409 nucleotides. The record is from Ensembl. NCBI's taxonomy places the organism in Eukaryota, Metazoa, Chordata, Actinopteri, Salmoniformes, Salmonidae.